CAGAGUUUGAUCCUGGUCAGGAUGAACGCUAGCUACAGGCUUAACACAUGCAAGUCGAGGGGAAACGACAUCGAAAGCUUGCUUUUGAUGGGCGUCGACCGGCGCACGGGUGAGUAACGCGUAUCCAACCUGCCCACCACUUGGGGAUAACCUUGCGAAAGUAAGACUAAUACCCAAUGACGUCUCUAGAAGACAUCUGAAAGAGAUUAAAGAUUUAUCGGUGAUGGAUGGGGAUGCGUCUGAUUAGCUUGUUGGCGGGGUAACGGCCCACAAGGCGACGAUCAGUAGGGGUUCUGAGAGGAAGGUCCCCCANAUUGGAACUGAGACACGGUCCAAACUCCUACGGGAGGCA
RNAcentral lists this ribosomal RNA (352 nucleotides) under uncultured bacterium. Its description in RNAcentral is "bacterial SSU rRNA". It matches the Rfam family "Bacterial small subunit ribosomal RNA", at positions 8 to 350 of the family's 1533-position model. The record is from RNAcentral.